GGGAGGCAGCAGUAGGGAAUCUUCCGCAAUGGACGAAAGUCUGACGGAGCAACGCCGCGUGAGUGAUGAAGGUUUUCGGAUCGUAAAGCUCUGUUGUUAGGGAAGAACAAGUACCGUUCGAAUAGGGCGGUACCUUGACGGUACCUAACCAGAAAGCCACGGCUAACUACGUGCCAGCAGCCGCGGUAAUACGUAGGUGGCAAGCGUUGUCCGGAAUUAUUGGGCGUAAAGGGCUCGCAGGCGGUUUCUUAAGUCUGAUGUGAAAGCCCCCGGCUCAACCGGGGAGGGUCAUUGGAAACUGGGGAACUUGAGUGCAGAAGAGGAGAGUGGAAUUCCACGUGUAGCGGUGAAAUGCGUAGAGAUGUGGAGGA
This 371-nucleotide ribosomal RNA is filed under the name Enterococcus faecalis. RNAcentral's name for it is "bacterial SSU rRNA". It matches the Rfam family "Bacterial small subunit ribosomal RNA", at positions 343 to 705 of the family's 1533-position model. The record is from RNAcentral. Lineage: Bacteria; Bacillati; Bacillota; Bacilli; Lactobacillales; Enterococcaceae.